GGUUGGUCUGAGUUCAGUGGUGUUUACAACUAAUUGAUCACAACCAGUUACAGAUUCCUUUGUUCCUUCUCCACUCCCACUGCUCCACUUGACCAGCCUUUA
Microcebus murinus (gray mouse lemur) is the source of this 102-nucleotide unclassified non-coding RNA. It matches the Rfam family "Y RNA". Rfam says of the family: Y RNAs are components of the Ro ribonucleoprotein particle (Ro RNP), in association with Ro60 and La proteins. The Y RNAs and Ro60 and La proteins are well conserved, but the function of the Ro RNP is not known. In humans the RNA component can be one of four small RNAs -- hY1, hY3, hY4 and hY5. The record is from Ensembl. Lineage: Eukaryota; Metazoa; Chordata; Mammalia; Primates; Cheirogaleidae.